UAAUGACGUGGCGACUUGU
RNAcentral lists this small nuclear RNA (19 nucleotides) under Arabidopsis thaliana (thale cress). Its description in RNAcentral is "snRNA_10249". The record is from RNAcentral. Lineage: Eukaryota; Viridiplantae; Streptophyta; Magnoliopsida; Brassicales; Brassicaceae.